UCUACGGUGCGCAGCAGUGGGGAAUAUUGCACAAUGGGGGAAACCCUGAUGCAGCGACGCCGCGUGAGUGAAGAAGCGUUUCGGCGCGUAAAGCUCCGUCAGCGGGGAAGAAACACGGUUCGCGAGAGCCGCGGACGGUACCCGACCAAGAAGCCCCGGCUAACUACGUGCCAGCAGCCGCGGUAAUACGUAGGGGGCAGGCGUUAUCCGGAUUCACUGGGUGGAAAGGGAGCGUAGACGGCGAGACAAGUCUGGAGUGAAAGGCCGGGGCGCAACCCCGGGACUGCUGUGGAAACUGGCUGGGUGGAGUACAGGAGAGGUAAGUGGAAUUCCUGGUGUAGCGGUGAAAUGCGUAGAUAUUAGGAGGAACACCAGUGGCGAAGGCAGCUUACUGGACUGUAACUGACGUUGAGGCUCGAAAGCGUGGGGAGCAAACAGGAUUAGAUACCCGAGUAGUC
This 458-nucleotide ribosomal RNA is filed under the name uncultured bacterium. RNAcentral's name for it is "partial 16S ribosomal RNA". It matches the Rfam family "Bacterial small subunit ribosomal RNA", at positions 338 to 795 of the family's 1533-position model. The record is from RNAcentral.